Molecule: ribosomal RNA, 440 nt
Filed under: uncultured bacterium
Lineage: Bacteria
Description: partial 16S ribosomal RNA
Rfam family: Bacterial small subunit ribosomal RNA
Source: RNAcentral
CCUACGGGAGGCUGCAGUAGGGAAUAUUGCUCAAUGGGGGAAACCCUGAAGCAGCCACGCCGCGUGGAGGAUGAAGGUUUUAUGAUUUUAAACUCCUUUUGUUAGAGAAGAUUAUGACGGUAUCUGUCGACUCCGCACCGGCUCACUCCGUGCCAGCCGCCGCUGUCCUACGGAGGGUGCAAGCGUUACUCGGAAUUACUGGGCGUAACGGGUGCGUAGGCGGGGUAAUAAGUCAGCUGUGAAAUCCUGUAGCUUAACUACAGAAGUGCCUUUGAAACUGUUACUCUGGAGUGUGGGAGAGGUAGGUGGAAUUCUUGGUGUAGGGGUAAAAUCCGUAGAGAUCAAGAGGAAUACUCAUUGCGAAGGCGACAUGCUGGAACAUUACUGACGCUGAUGCACGAAAGCGUGGGGAGCAAACAGGAUUAGAUACCCCUGUAGUC